UAGGGAAUCUUCCACAAUGGACGCAAGUCUGAUGGAGCAACGCCGCGUGAGUGAAGAAGGGUUUCGGCUCGUAAAGCUCUGUUGUUAAAGAAGAACGUGGGUAAGAGUAACUGUUUACCCAGUGACGGUAUUUAACCAGGAAGCCACGGCUAACUACGUGCCAC
RNAcentral lists this ribosomal RNA (164 nucleotides) under uncultured bacterium. RNAcentral's name for it is "partial 16S rRNA". It matches the Rfam family "Bacterial small subunit ribosomal RNA", at positions 355 to 511 of the family's 1533-position model. The record is from RNAcentral.